AACACCCCAGUGCAGCAUGGGACUUCGUAAGAAGAGAUGGGAACACCCCAGAACAAGUCAUUGAAAGAAAAGUGCCUCUUAAGCAAGGGAGGGCUCAGAUAAAGCUGUUGAAAAUGUGCCAGUUACUAUUUCCCAAACCAAAUGUAGAAGACUGAAGGUGCUGUGCUGCUGGACUCCACUCACUUCCACAAAUGAAGAAAUCUCUGAGGUAUCCAUCACUGUCUUCAUGUUGGUAUUUGGAAGGAUAAGCUCUUCAGAAGAGAUGCUGCUGGUAUUUCUUCCCUAGGAAGCAUCCCCCAAGGGCUCCAUGGGACCGCAGAAC
RNAcentral lists this long non-coding RNA (322 nucleotides) under Gallus gallus (chicken). The record is from RNAcentral. Lineage: Eukaryota; Metazoa; Chordata; Aves; Galliformes; Phasianidae.